RNAcentral lists this non-coding RNA (30 nucleotides) under Rattus norvegicus (Norway rat). The record is from RNAcentral. Lineage: Eukaryota; Metazoa; Chordata; Mammalia; Rodentia; Muridae.
UAGGUUCUGAGCUAUGACUGGUCACACCUA